This 465-nucleotide ribosomal RNA is filed under the name uncultured Gammaproteobacteria bacterium. Its description in RNAcentral is "bacterial SSU rRNA". It matches the Rfam family "Bacterial small subunit ribosomal RNA", at positions 338 to 795 of the family's 1533-position model. Lineage: Bacteria; Pseudomonadati; Pseudomonadota; Gammaproteobacteria. The record is from RNAcentral.
CCUACGGGGGGCUGCAGUGGGGAAUAUUGGACAAUGGGCGCAAGCCUGAUCCAGCAAUGCCGCGUGGGUGAAGACGGCCUGCGGGUUGUAAAGCCCUUUAGGCGGGGAGGAACGGUCGGGUGCCAAUACCACCCGGCGCUGACGUUACCCGCAGAAUAAGCACCGGCUAACUCCGUGCCAGCAGCCGCGGUAAUACGGAGGGUGCGAGCGUUAAUCGGAAUUACUGGGCGUAAAGCGUGCGUAGGCGGUAGCGUCAGUCAGCCGUGAAAGCCCCGGGCUUAACCUGGGAACGGCGGUUGAGACGGCGCAACUAGAGUGGGCUAGAGGAUCGUGGAAUUCCGGGUGUAGCGGUGAAAUGCGUAGAGAUCCGGAGGAACACCGAUGGCGAAGGCAGCGGUCUGGGGCCACACUGACGCUGAGGCACGACAGCGUGGGGAGCAAACAGGAUUAGAUACCCCAGUAGUC